RNAcentral lists this ribosomal RNA (362 nucleotides) under uncultured bacterium. RNAcentral's name for it is "partial 16S ribosomal RNA". It matches the Rfam family "Bacterial small subunit ribosomal RNA", at positions 527 to 891 of the family's 1533-position model. The record is from RNAcentral.
GGAGGUGGCAAGCGUUGUUCGGAUUUAUUGGGUGUAAAGGGUGUGUAGGUGUCCUUAUAAGUCGGGUGUGAAAUCCUUCAGCUCAACUGAAGAAUUGCGCUCGAAACUGCAAGGAUUGAGUGUAUGAGAGGAGAGGGGAAUUCUUGGUGUAAGGGUGAAAUCUGUAGAUAUCAAGAAGAACACCGGCGGCGAAGGCGCCUCUCUGGCAUACAACUGACACUGAAACACGAAAGCGUGGGUAGCAAACAGGAUUAGAUACCCUGGUAGUCCACGCCGUAAACGAUGUGCACUAGGUGUGCCCUGUCAAAGGGGCGUNNNNNNNNNAACGCAUUAAGUGCACCACCUGGGGAGUACGUCGGCAA